RNAcentral lists this ribosomal RNA (862 nucleotides) under uncultured organism. Its description in RNAcentral is "bacterial SSU rRNA". It matches the Rfam family "Archaeal small subunit ribosomal RNA", at positions 477 to 1338 of the family's 1478-position model. The record is from RNAcentral.
CAGCACCUCAAGUGGUCAGGAUGAUUAUUGGGCCUAAAGCAUCCGUAGCCGGCUCUGUAAGUUUUCGGUUAAAUCUGUACGCUCAACGUACAGGCUGCCGGGAAUACUGCAGAGCUAGGGAGUGGGAGAGGUAGACGGUACUCGGGAGGAAGUGGUAAAAUGCUUUGAUCUCUCGAUGACCACCUGUGGCGAAGGCGGUCUACCAGAACACGUCCGACGGUGAGGGAUGAAAGCUGGGGGAGCAAACCGGAUUAGAUACCCGGGUAGUCCCAGCUGUAAACUAUGCAAACUAAGUGAUGCAUUGGCUUGUGGCCAAUGCAGUAUUUCAGGGAAGCCGUUAAGUUUGCCGCCUGGGAAGUACGUACGCAAGUAUGAAACUUAAAGGAAUUGGCGGGGGAGCACCACAAGGGGUGAAGCCUGCGGUUCAAUUGGAGUCAACGCCAGAAAUCUUACCCGGAGAGACAGCAGAAUGAAGGUCAAGCUGAAGACUUUACCAGACAAGCUGAGAGGUGGUGCAUGGCCGUCGCCAGCUCGUGCCGUGAGAUGUCCUGUUAAGUCAGGUAACGAGCGAGAUCCCUGCCUCUAGUUGCCACCAUUACUCUCAGGAGUAGUGGGGCGAAUUAGCGGGACCGCCGCAGUUAAUGCGGAGGAAGGAAGGGGCCACGGCAGGUCAGUAUGCCCCGAAACUCUGGGGCCACACGCGGGCUGCAAUGGUAAUGACAAUGGGUUCCAAAUCCGAAAGGAGGAGGUAAUCCCCAAACAUUACCACAGUUAUGACUGAGGGCUGCAACUCGCCCUCACGAAUAUGGAAUCCCUAGUAACUGCGUGUCAUUAUCGCGCGGUGAAUACGUCCCUGCUCCUU